UACGUAGGGGGCUAGCGUUGUCCGGAAUCAUUGGGCGUAAAGAGCGUGUGGGCGGCCCGGUAAGUCCGCUGUGAAAGUCGGGGGCUCAACCCUCGAAUGCCGGUGGAUACUGUCGGGCUAGAGUGCGGAAGAGGCGAGUGGAAUUCCUGGUGUAGCGGUGAAAUGCGCAGAUAUCAGGAGGAACACCAAUUGCGAAGGCAGCUCGCUGGGACGUAACUGACGCUGAGACGCGAAAGCGUGGGGAGCAAACAGG
This 253-nucleotide ribosomal RNA is filed under the name uncultured bacterium. RNAcentral describes it as "partial 16S ribosomal RNA". It matches the Rfam family "Bacterial small subunit ribosomal RNA", at positions 524 to 776 of the family's 1533-position model. The record is from RNAcentral.